CAAGCUACUAAGGGCGUAUGGGGGAUGUCUUGGCAUUAAGUGAACAGGCGUGGAAGUCUGCGAAAAGCUUGGGGGAGUUGACAAACAAGCGAUGAUCCCGAGAUACCUGGUUGAACGUGGAGAACUGAAACAUCUAAGUACCCACAGGAAAAGAAAGAAAAAUCGAUUUCCUCAGUAGCGGCGAGCGAACGGGAAAUAGCCCAAACCGUGGAGGUUUCCUCCGCGGGGUUGUAGGGCCUUUCACAUGAGAGUCACAAAAUUGCCGGCUAGCAGAACUACUUUGAACGGUAGGCCGUAGAGGGUGACAGCCCCGUAUGCAAAAGCUAGCAAUCUCUCGAGAGGUACCUGAGUAAGUCGGGCCACGUGGAAUCCCGACUGAAUCUACGGGGACCAUCCCGUAAGGCUAAAUACUACUUAAUGACCGAUAGUGAACUCAGUAUGGUGACUGAAUGAUGAGAAGAACCCCUGCUAGGGGAGGCGCUGAACCUGAAACCAUACGCCUACAAGCGGUCGGAGCCCUAUGGCCUUUUAGGCAACGGGUGACGGCGUGCCUUUUGCAUAAUGAUCCGGCGAGUUACCGUCUGCGGCUUGGUUAAGGUCUUACGGACCGAAGCCUCAGGGAAACCGAGUCUUAAUAGGGCGACAUUUGUCGUUGGCGGUAGACGCGAAACCUGGUGAACUACCCAUGAGCAGGUUGAAGCGCGGGUUGUACCGCGUGGAGGACCGAACCCACUUGGGUUGAAAACCGAGGGGAUGACUUGUGGGGAGGAGUGAAAGUCUAAUCAAACCAGGAGAUAGCUCGUUCUCUCCGAAAUAGCUUUAGGGCUAGCCUUGAGCCACUAUGCAUCGGGGGUAGAGAUACUGAUUUGGAGGCGGGCCCUUCGCGGGGUACCCCUCUGAGCCAAACUCCGAAUACCGAUGUAAUUAUCUCAGGAGUCAGUCCGCGUGGGAUAAGCUUCGCGGUCGAGAGGGAAACAACCCAGACUAUCGGCUAAGGUCCCGAAGUCGUACUUAGUCACUAAGGAGGUUGAAUUGCUGUGACAACCAGGAUGUUGGCUUAGAAGCAGCCAUCAUUUAAAAAGUGCGUAACAGCUUACUGGUCGAGCAAUUCUGCGCCAAUAAUGAACGGGAGUAAGUGCGACACCGAAGCCAUAGAAUCUUUAUAGAUUGGUAGGAGAGCGCUGUAGGUCAGAUACGAGCCGUACCGUAAGGAGCGGUGUUGGGGCCUACAGGUGAUUAUGCCGGAAUGAGUAACGAUAAGGCAGGUGAGAAUCCUGCCCGCCGAAAGCCUAAGGUUUCCUGGGGAAGGUAAUUCCGCCCAGGGUUAGCCGGUUCCUAAGGCGAGGCCGAAAGGCGUAGUCGAUGGACAGCAGGUGAAUAUUCCUGCGCUAGCUAAGUGGACCGAUGGAGGGACGGCGUCCAGAAUGCGAUCGGGGAUCUUAGAUCAGCCCGUGGGCCAUGACGAGAUGUUGGGUAGGCAAAUCCGCCCAUAUAAUUCAAGUCAUGGAACCGAACUCCGUUUGAGAGGUAGUCGCUGGAAGGACGUCCAAGAAAAGCUUCUAAGGGUUGAAGCUUAGCUAACCGUACUAAAACUGACACAGGUAGGCGAGACGAGUAGUCUAAGGCGCUCGGGAGAACACUGGUUAAGGAACUCUGCAAAAUGAUCCCGUAAGUUCGCGAUAAGGGAUGCCCGUGAGAGCGGGCCACAGUAAAUCGAUUCCUCCGACUGUUUAUCAAAAACACAGGACCCUGCAAACUCGCAAGAGGAAGUAUAGGGUCUGACGCCUGCCCGGUGCUGGUAGGUUAAGGUAAGAGGUUAGUUUAACUACGAAGCUUUUGACCGAAGCCCCAGUAAACGGCGGCCGUAACUAUGACGGUCCUAAGGUAGCGAAGUUCCUUGUCGGGUAAGUUCCGACCUGCAUGAAAGGCGUAACGAGAGGAAUACUGUCUCAACCAGUGACCCGGUGAAAUUGUAGUCGUGGUGAAGAUGCCACGUUCCCGCAGCUAGACGGAAAGACCCCGUGAACCUUUACUGUAGGCUGAUAUUGGGUUGAGCUAUGUACUGUGUAGGAUAGGUGGGAGGCUUUGAAGCCGGCACGCUAGUGUCGGUGGAGCCGUUGGUGAAAUACCACCCUGUUCAUGGUUUAAUUCUAACGUUGAUUCCUGUGAAUCCAGGCAACGGACAGUGUCAGUUGGGCAGUUUGACUGGGGCGGUCUCCUCCCAAAGAGUAACGGAGGAGCCCAAUAGGUACUCUCAGCCUGGUUGGCAAUCAGGCAUCGAGCGCAAAGGUAGAAGAGUGCUAAACUGCGAGACUUAUCAGUCGAGCAGGUACGAAAGUAGGGCUUAGUGAUCCGGUGGUUCCGUAUGGAAGGGCCAUCGCUCAACAGAUAAAAGGUACUCCGGGGAUAACAGGCUUAUCGCUCCCGAGCGUCCAUAGCGGCGGAGCGGUUUGGCACCUCGAUGUCGGCUCAUCACAUCCUGGGGGUGAAGAAGCUCCCAAGGGUUUGGCUGUUCGCCAAUGAAAGUGGUACGUGAGCUGGGUUCAGACCGUCGUGAGACAGGUCGGUCCCUAUCUACUGUGGGCGUACGAAACUUGCGGAGGUUCAACUUUAGUACGAGAGGAUUUAGUUGGACGACCCUCUGGUGUUCCUGUUGUCGCGCUAGCGGCACGGCAGGGUAGCUAAGGUCGGAAAGGAUAAACGCUGAAGGCAUCUAAGCGUGAAGCCCGCUCCAAGAUGAGGUUUCGUUGAGCAAUGCUCGAAAGUCCCCUGGAAGACUACCAGGUUGAUAGGUCGGAUGUGUAAGUGCAGUAAUGUAUUCAGCUAACCGAUACUAACGGACGAACGCUU
Molecule: ribosomal RNA, 2850 nt
Filed under: Aeoliella mucimassa
Lineage: Bacteria; Pseudomonadati; Planctomycetota; Planctomycetia; Pirellulales; Lacipirellulaceae
Description: Planctomycetes bacterium Pan181 23S ribosomal RNA
Rfam family: Bacterial large subunit ribosomal RNA
Source: RNAcentral